UGCGAGCGUAGUUCAACGGUAGAACGGUACUCCUUUGAGUUGCUGACUAGAUACUAUGCAGAUGCAGGUUCGACUCCUACCGCUCGCGU
This 89-nucleotide transfer RNA is filed under the name Lactiplantibacillus plantarum. RNAcentral's name for it is "Lactobacillus plantarum tRNA-Lys". It matches the Rfam family "tRNA". From Rfam's summary of the family: Transfer RNA (tRNA) molecules are approximately 80 nucleotides in length. Their secondary structure includes four short double-helical elements and three loops (D, anti-codon, and T loops). The record is from RNAcentral. Lineage: Bacteria; Bacillati; Bacillota; Bacilli; Lactobacillales; Lactobacillaceae.